Molecule: ribosomal RNA, 556 nt
Filed under: uncultured eukaryote
Lineage: Eukaryota
Description: eukaryotic LSU rRNA
Rfam family: Eukaryotic large subunit ribosomal RNA
Source: RNAcentral
GGAGGGCGUAAAGUUUCUAUUAUAUUGGCUGUUAAGCAUCUAAGCGUAAGCUUAUGUGGAGCAAAACUUUAGUGUAGAUCUUGGUGGUAGUAGCAAAUAUUCAAAUGAGAACUUUGAAGACUGAAGUGGAGAAAGCUUCCAUAUGAACUGUGUUUGUUUAUGGGUUAGUCGAUCCUAAGAGAUAGGUUAAUUCUCAUAGAAUGUCUAUUACUUUAUUGUAAUCACCUAUCGAAAGGGAAACAGGUUAAUAUUCCUGUACCAAAUCAAGGAUAAGUAAAAUGGUAACAUAAAAGAACCUAGAAACGUCUAUGGAAAUCCUGGGAAGAGUUCUCUUUUCUUUUUAACUAAUCUGUGUAUGGUUUACCAUGCAUGUAAAAGACCUUGGAAUCAGUUCAGCUGGAGAGAAGGUUUAAAGAUUGGUAAAGUAACUCAUUCUUUUGAGUUAUCUGGUGUAUUUCCAGUAGGCCCUUGAAAAUCUAGGGAAAUAAAUUAAUUUUCUUUGAUUGUUCGUACUCAUAACCGCCGCAGGUCUCCAAGGUUAGAAGACCUCUAGUUU